UAAGGAAUAUUGGUCAAUGGAGGAAACUCUGAACCAGCCAUGCCGCGUGGAGGAUGAAGGUCCUCUGGAUUGUAAACUUCUUUUAUAUGGGACGAAAAAACGGUUUUCUAACCGGACUGACGGUACCAUACGAAUAAGCACCGGCUAACUCCGUGCCAGCAGCCGCGGUAAUACGGAGGGUGCAAGCGUUAUCCGGAUUCACUGGGUUUAAAGGGAGCGCAGGUGGGCUAGUAAGUCAGUGGUGAAAUCUCCGGGCUUAACCCGGAAAUUGCCGUUGAUACUAUUAGUCUUGAAUAUUGUGGAGGUUAGCGGAAUAUGUCAUGUAGCGGUGAAAUGCUUAGAUAUGACAUGGAACACCAAUUGCGAAGGCAGCUGGCUACACAAAUAUUGACACUGAGGCUCGAAAGCGUGGGGAUCAAACAGG
Molecule: ribosomal RNA, 424 nt
Filed under: uncultured bacterium
Lineage: Bacteria
Description: bacterial SSU rRNA
Rfam family: Bacterial small subunit ribosomal RNA
Source: RNAcentral